Long non-coding RNA from Gordionus sp. m RMFG-2023, 290 nucleotides. RefSeq lists it as uncharacterized. The record is from RefSeq and is a predicted model, not a curated record. The transcript has 3 exons. NCBI's taxonomy places the organism in Eukaryota, Metazoa, Nematomorpha, Gordioida, Chordodea, Parachordodidae.
UUUUUUUGUUUUUUUUCUUUUUAAAAUUUUUUGGAAAUUAUUCUUGGCUUAAAUCAAUAAAAUAAAAGAAAGAAAAAAAGAAAGAAUACGAUUCUCAUCUCUGGCGGUUAUACCCGGAGUUACCUGACAUUGGCAACCACCAUAUUAAUUAAGAACAAAUAUUUAGUAAAAAUGAGGUCCAAAAGUUAUGCACAUUCAAAGCUAAACAAACGAAAACACAAUUCGAAUUAUCCAACAUAUGAAGUUUUAGAUCAUACAUAUUGCAAGUGCCAAAAAUCGCUUCAACAAAC